This is a long non-coding RNA of Suricata suricatta (meerkat), 233 nucleotides long. RefSeq lists it as uncharacterized. The transcript has 3 exons. The record is from RefSeq and is a predicted model, not a curated record. NCBI's taxonomy places the organism in Eukaryota, Metazoa, Chordata, Mammalia, Carnivora, Herpestidae.
UUGAAGCAGCUUGCCUAUUGGGAUCAGAGUGGUAGAAGCCUUUCUAAGCAGAAGGCAUGUGCAAAGGUUCUGCGAUGGGAAAUCAUUGUGAAUUCUUGAAACUGUGAAUCCCAGAAAAACCACACCUUUCAUGGAUCCAAAUCAGCUUUGAACCACUCCUAGAAUCCUGGACAUAUCUGGAAAGUUUAUUUUCGUUUUCAUCUUCAGACUCUGCUUUGCUUAACAGGUUACCU